Molecule: ribosomal RNA, 497 nt
Filed under: uncultured bacterium
Lineage: Bacteria
Description: partial 16S ribosomal RNA
Rfam family: Bacterial small subunit ribosomal RNA
Source: RNAcentral
GACGAACGCUGGCGGCGUGCCUAAUACAUGCAAGUUGAGCGCUGAAGGUUGGUACUUGUACCAACUGGAUGAGCAGCGAACGGGUGAGUAACGCGUGGGGAAUCUGCCUUUGAGCGGGGGACAACAUUUGGAAACGAAUGCUAAUACCGCAUAAAAACUUUAAACACAAGUUUUAAGUUUGAAAGAUGCAAUUGCAUCACUCAAAGAUGAUCCCGCGUUGUAUUAGCUAGUUGGUGAGGUAAAGGCUCACCAAGGCGAUGAUACAUAGCCGACCUGAGAGGGUGAUCGGCCACAUUGGGACUGAGACACGGCCCAAACUCCUACGGGAGGCAGCAGUAGGGAAUCUUCGGAAAUGGACGAAAGUCUGACCGAGCAACGCCGCGUGAGUGAAGAAGGUUUUCGGAUCGUAAAACUCUGUUGGUAGAGAAGAACGUUGGUGAGGGUGGAAAGCUCAUCAAGUGACGGUAACUACCCAGAAAGGGACGGCUAACUACGUG